RNAcentral lists this ribosomal RNA (541 nucleotides) under uncultured bacterium. Its description in RNAcentral is "bacterial SSU rRNA". It matches the Rfam family "Bacterial small subunit ribosomal RNA", at positions 355 to 896 of the family's 1533-position model. The record is from RNAcentral.
UGAGGAAUAUUGGACAAUGGAGGCAACUCUGAUCCAGCCAUGCCGCGUGCAGGAUGACUGCCCUAUGGGUUGUAAACUGCUUUUAUAUAGGAAGAAACACUCCCACGUGUGGGGGCUUGACGGUACUAUAUGAAUAAGGAUCGGCUAACUCCGUGCCAGCAGCCGCGGUAAUACGGAGGAUCCAAGCGUUAUCCGGAAUCAUUGGGUUUAAAGGGUCCGCAGGCGGCCUGUUAAGUCAGAGGUGAAAGCCAACAGCUCAACUGUUGAACGGCCUUUGAUACUGAUAGGCUUGAGUUAUUGUGAAGUGGUUAGAAUGUGUGGUGUAGCGGUGAAAUGCUUAGAUAUCACACAGAAUACCCAUUGCGAAGGCAGAUCACUAACAAUAUACUGACGCUCAUGGACGAAAGCGUGGGGAGCGAACGGGAUUAGAUACCCCGGUAGUCCACGCCGUAAACGAUGGAUACUAACUGUUCGACCUUCGGGUUGAGUGGUCAAGCGAAAGUGAUAAGUAUCCCACCUGGGGAGUACGCUCGCAAGAGUG